AUUGAACGCUGGCGGCAUGCCUUACACAUGCAAGUCGAACGGUAACGGGCCUUCGGGUGCCGACGAGUGGCGAACGGGUGAGUAAUACAUCGGAACGUGCCCGAUCGUGGGGGAUAACGAGGCGAAAGCUUUGCUAAUACCGCAUACGAUCUACGGAUGAAAGCAGGGGACCGCAAGGCCUUGCGCGGAUGGAGCGGCCGAUGGCAGAUUAGGUAGUUGGUGGGAUAAAAGCUUACCAAGCCGACGAUCUGUAGCUGGUCUGAGAGGAUGAUCAGCCACACUGGGACUGAGACACGGCCCAGACUCCUACGGGAGGCAGCAGUGGGGAAUUUUGGACAAUGGGCGCAAGCCUGAUCCAGCCAUGCCGCGUGCAGGAUGUAGGCCUUCGGGUUGUAAACUGCUUUUGUACGGAACGAAAAGCCUUCUUCUAAUACAGGAGGGUCAUGACGGUACCGUAAGAAUAAGCACCGGCUAACUACGUGCCAGCCGCCGCGGUAA
Molecule: ribosomal RNA, 498 nt
Filed under: uncultured bacterium
Lineage: Bacteria
Description: partial 16S ribosomal RNA
Rfam family: Bacterial small subunit ribosomal RNA
Source: RNAcentral